Molecule: ribosomal RNA, 305 nt
Filed under: uncultured bacterium
Lineage: Bacteria
Description: bacterial SSU rRNA
Rfam family: Bacterial small subunit ribosomal RNA
Source: RNAcentral
GACCCCUACGGGGCGCAGCAGUGAGGAAUAUUGGUCAAUGGCCAAGAGGCUGAACCAGCCAAGUCGCGUGAGGGAUGACGGCCCUACGGGUUGUAAACCUCUUUUGUCGGGGAGCAAAGAGAGUCACGUGUGACUCAUUGAGAGUACCCGAAGAAAAAGCAUCGGCUAACUCCGUGCCAGCAGCCGCGGUAAUACGGAGGAUGCGAGCGUUAUCCGGAUUUAUUGGGUUUAAAGGGUGCGCAGGCGGAGGUGCAAGUCAGCGGUCAAAUUGCGGUGCUCAGCCCCGGCCGGCCGUUGAAACUGGU